GCUUACGGCCAUACCACCCUGUCUGCACCCAAUCUUGUCUGAUUUCAGAAGCUAAGCAGAGUCAGGCCUGGUUAGUACUUGGAUGGGAGAUUGCCUGGGAAUACCAGGUGCUGUAAGCU
RNAcentral lists this ribosomal RNA (119 nucleotides) under Sinocyclocheilus rhinocerous. The record is from RNAcentral. Lineage: Eukaryota; Metazoa; Chordata; Actinopteri; Cypriniformes; Cyprinidae.